RNAcentral lists this transfer RNA (75 nucleotides) under Alphaproteobacteria bacterium. RNAcentral describes it as "tRNA-Thr". It matches the Rfam family "tRNA". From Rfam's summary of the family: Transfer RNA (tRNA) molecules are approximately 80 nucleotides in length. Lineage: Bacteria; Pseudomonadati; Pseudomonadota; Alphaproteobacteria. The record is from RNAcentral.
GCCGCCGUAGCUCAGUGGUAGAGCGCGCCCUUGGUAAGGGCGAGGUCGACAGUUCAAUCCUGUCCGGCGGCACCA